Molecule: long non-coding RNA, 521 nt
Filed under: Gossypium barbadense (sea-island cotton)
Lineage: Eukaryota; Viridiplantae; Streptophyta; Magnoliopsida; Malvales; Malvaceae
Description: long non-coding RNA (GBAR_LNC001269)
Source: RNAcentral
CGUGUAGAACAUUUCUUUCUCUUCCUUUGACAUUGCAAAAAUUGUAGGCGGCAACCAAUAUUUUCCAUUAGGAAGUACUUGGGGAUGAAGAUCACGCCUAAUUCCCAUGUGAACUAAAUCAAGUCGACUUUGAAGAUUAUCUUUUGAUUUACCAUCGACGUUCAAAAUUGUCCGGAUGAUGUUCUCGCAGACAUUCUUCUCAAUAUGCAUCACAUCAAGAUUGUGGCGUAAUAUGUGAUGCUCCCAAUAAGGCAACUCAAAAAAAUACUUCUUUUCUUCCACAAGUCCGCCUCAUUAGGGUCAUCCUCCUCGUCAGAUUCAUCAUCAGAUUCAUCCCUCGAUCGUCUGUUUGUUUGCCUGUUAGAUGGUUGAUUCAGCUUCCCGUAACUGAAAUCCAUAUCUUUUAACAUGAAUAAGAUUUCAGAUCCAAUGGUCUGCUCAGGAGCUUUUUUCAACUCUUCAGUACCGUCAAAUAAAGCCUUCUGAAAUCUAUAUCUAUGAUUUUCAUCUAACCACCGACG